Mus musculus (house mouse) is the source of this 3801-nucleotide RNA transcript. It is a transcript of the gene named nucleosome assembly protein 1-like 1, with no coding region annotated. The transcript is spliced from 13 exons. Lineage: Eukaryota; Metazoa; Chordata; Mammalia; Rodentia; Muridae. The record is from RefSeq and is marked validated.
GGAUACUGCAAGCCUGCCACUAGGCUGUGUCCCUAACCCAGGCGGGCAAGGAGAACCAGGAGCGGGACCUAUGGGUCGUCGCUGUGGGAUUGGGAUUUCCAUCGCAGCGUAGAAGGGAGAAGAGAUGGCGAGCACAAGACCGCCACAGGCGGGAAGCCUAAGGUGCCGGGGAAGAAGGACGGCUCUGUAACCAGGCAACAAGGCCCAGGCCCGCCUCCCGCUCCCGUUGCUACGCAACGCCGAGGCCAGGGGGAGGGCGUCGGAGCAGCCCUACGUGCUGACGCUAAUUGUAUAUGAGCGCGAGCGGCGGGCUCUCGGGUCUUUUUUAGCGCCAUCUGCUCGCGGCGCCGCCUCCUGCUCCUCCCGCCGCCGCCGCUGCCGCCGCCCUGAGUCACUGCCUGCGCAGCUCCCGCCGCCCGGCUCCGCGUCCGAGCCUCCUGGAACGACAUUUGGAGUUCUUACAAGAUGGCCGACAUUGACAACUUGCCUAAGGUAGUCAAAAGACGAGUGAAUGCUCUCAAGAAUCUUCAGGUUAAAUGUGCACAGAUAGAAGCCAAAUUCUAUGAGGAAGUUCAUGAUCUCGAGAGGAAGUAUGCUGUUCUCUAUCAGCCUUUAUUUGAUAAGCGAUUUGAGAUCAUUAAUGCAAUCUAUGAACCUACAGAAGAAGAAUGCGAGUGGAAACCAGAUGAGGAGGAUGAAGUUUCGGAGGAGCUGAAAGAAAAGGCCAAGAUUGAAGAUGAGAAAAAGGAUGAAGAAAAAGAAGACCCGAAAGGAAUUCCUGAAUUUUGGUUGACAGUGUUUAAGAAUGUUGACUUGCUCAGUGACAUGGUUCAGGAACAUGAUGAACCUAUUCUGAAGCACUUGAAAGAUAUUAAAGUGAAGUUUUCGGAUGCUGGCCAGCCUAUGAGUUUUGUCUUAGAAUUUCACUUUGAACCCAAUGACUAUUUCACAAAUGAAGUGUUAACAAAGACUUACAGGAUGCGGUCAGAGCCAGAUGAUUCUGACCCCUUUUCUUUUGACGGACCAGAGAUUAUGGGCUGUACAGGGUGCCAGAUAGAUUGGAAAAAAGGAAAGAAUGUUACUUUGAAAACCAUUAAGAAGAAGCAGAAACACAAGGGGCGUGGGACAGUUCGUACUGUGACUAAAACAGUUUCCAAUGAUUCUUUCUUUAAUUUUUUUGCUCCUCCUGAAGUUCCUGAGAAUGGCGAUCUGGAUGAUGAUGCUGAGGCGAUACUGGCUGCAGACUUUGAAAUUGGUCACUUUUUACGUGAGCGCAUAAUCCCAAGAUCAGUGCUGUACUUCACUGGAGAGGCUAUCGAGGACGAUGACGAUGAUUAUGAUGAAGAAGGUGAAGAAGCUGACGAGGGUUAUCAGCUCUUUGAAGAAGUCAAAAGCUGCAGUAAACUUUUCCAACGUUGGCUGCAGUAAAUCUUUUCAAUAAAAGCUGUCUGGAUGUCUCAAGUUGUGUUGGGAAAUUUUUCAUAUUAGAAGCUUUGAAAUUAAAUUGUAUUAUCAACAAACUCUGUAAUCAUGAAAAUCUGUUGACCCAUAGAGUAACUUGUAUAAAAUUUCCAUACAUUAUGAGCCAAUUUUUCUAGUAUGUACCUACUUCAUGGAUGCAUUUUGAACUUUAAUAUAGGAAGGGGAAGAAGAAGGAGAUGAGGAAAACGAUCCAGACUAUGACCCAAAGAAGGAUCAGAACCCAGCCGAGUGCAAGCAGCAGUGAGCAGUGACUGGCCUUGAGGACGGCCGCCCUGUAAUAGCCUAAACAUGACUCAUUUACUUACAGCCUUAUGGUUUUGUAUUUUCUUGGUAGAAUCAGUAAGUUUUUAAGGGAAAGGAGAUUGAUAUUUGAAAGACGAGUUUGUUCUACCUAGCACCCUAGCUCUAGCUCUGUCAGAUACGUUAAUGCAUACAUCCUCUCUAAUGCAUGUUCAUUUAUUGCUGCAGUUUGGUUCUUCUGGAGUAUUUUCAUCAUUUAGCUAUUGGAAUACAAUUAUGAAAACCAACUGUUGAACAUACUUGGAGUAGCUGUUUCUUUCCUAAAGAACCAAAGUUGUUUUCAGCUAAUAGAACAGGUUGAAGUCCGCCUGCAUUAGCUGUGUUUUCCCUCAUCUUGUUAGAGGGAUGCACAGGGCACGGUGACAUCAUUUCCCUCAUGUUGUUAGAGGGAUGCACAGGGCACGGUGACAUCAUUUGAGGGAGGAAAAUUGUCGUUAAGAAUUUCCAGUAAGAUCAAACUUAAUAACUGAGAUUAUGAAAGCAUUUUUAUGUUUUCGAUGAUAUAAACAAAAGUCAACUCGUUUAUAGCAAGGUGAACAAACCCUAGGUUCUCUUGAAGUUGAUAGUAUUUAAUGUAUUUUGAAAAUUAACCUCCAUUAAUUAAAUCUUUUCUUUGUGGUAGGGCCUACCUUCUGCUUUCCUGGAAAAGAUGAAUAUACAUCAUAUGAACCUAUUUUGAGUUUUUCUGUUGUUUGUUUGCCUAAUUUUGUUUUUAUAGCCUAAAAUAAAAAUAUGACACAGUUUUAGCUCUCAUGGGAUGCUGUCUCGGUUUGUACUGAUUGAGGCUAUUGCAGAGGGUUAGUUGGAAUUCAGGGGUGCCUAGUUUUCUAUAUUGAACAACGCUGGAGGAGCUAAUACACACGUGCUUUAAAAAAAGUGAUAUGCUCUAGUUUGAGCAGAAAGGUACAGUUGUGCUUGUUAGAACUGAAACCUUUGUUUGGACUUUGUUUAUUCUGUCCUCAGGAGGAUGAGGAGUGUCGGGAGCCAUGCUGUUUAUUUACUGUGCAUAACCAAGAAUGGGUGGGACUGUUGAUUCAACUACCUCAACUCUGUUAAGGCAUAUUGGGGUAUAUCUCACAAACUCUCAGUCUUACUUGCAAAAUGCUCAAAAAAUUGGGCCUCUAUACCAUGAGUGUGAUAUUCAGCAUUAUAUUCACACCAAGCUUUGAUGAUUAAACUGGAGAAUGAAGUUUAAACACUUCUAUUCUAGAUCUGAGCAUGUGGCUCCAAUUUUAGUGGGAAGGAAUGAAAGUAGUGUAUGAUUUCAAGAGAUUGAAGAGUUUUGGGAUUUUUGAGUUUUACCCCCCUUCAGAUAUUUCAAGUGACCACAUUAUAAAACACCCUAAGGUGGUAACGAGGCAGGGGAGGAUGGCAUGAAGUUGCAUUAAGUUUCAGACCACUGAGAGCCACAUUUAAAAUACCUCAGGCUAAUUACUGUUCACUUUGGGGCAGGAGUAGGUUUUGCCAGGGUAUAGUAAUUGGAUUGCACUCCAAGGAAAGUUCCUAUUGUUAAUAAAAUUUACGUAGAGGAGAAACGUUUGUUUGAGGUGGUAGUUCUUUCUGUGAGGUUUUAGUAUUCGAACUCUUAGAAUGUGAACACAUUCGAGAGCUGACUUCUUCCUGAGAGUUUUAACUACUGGAAAUCCUUAACCAAUUAUAUUUUCUUUAUUUUGAGAAUGAUUUGGUUGCUUUUUCUUAGAUGGUUUCUGCUAUUUUCUGUAAUCAUAGUUCAUCUAAACACAGCCUAUUUUCGUGAACAUUGAAGUUUGUAACGGAAAGAUAGGAUCUCAUUUUCAGUGAACUUCCAGACUAGCGCACUCUUCCCUUCCCUCUGUAGGAAGUAGCUGUUGCCAAAGCGAAGAGGUAGCUGGCUCUUGUAUAAUGGGAAAGUGCCGUGUGGAGCUUCAGGGGUCAGUGUUUAUUAUGACAUCUGUCAGUCCCCAAAUGGUUCUAUUCUCUACAAGUCUGAAAUAUGUAAUCUGAAAUCCUUAAUAAAAUUGGAUCUAAUUUUAUAAAAUA